RNAcentral lists this long non-coding RNA (1125 nucleotides) under Anser cygnoides (Swan goose). RNAcentral describes it as "lncRNA (ENSACDG00005008595.1)". Lineage: Eukaryota; Metazoa; Chordata; Aves; Anseriformes; Anatidae. The record is from RNAcentral.
AUGAUGCUGAAGUGGUUCAGCACCUUGUUCCUCCUGGGGGGGGGACACAGGGGGGACGGCGUCACCACCAGGCCCCCCCCCGGGGGGUCCCGGCGUCCCCCCCCCAGGCCCCGCCGACCUCUCCCACUCCUCCUCGGCCUCCUCGGCCGUGAGCGUGCGGUGCUUGGCCACGGGGGUGAAGUUGUACCAGUGCUGCACCGGGAAGGCCUCGAAGGCGCCGUCGGGGCACUGCGUGAAGAUGUAGUAGGAGGCGUUCUCCGUCACGCCGCCCUUCUUCACCCCCUUGUACCUGCGGAGAGGGGGGGGGCACCGGGAUGGGUCCUGUCCCCAAAGCAGGGGGGGGCACCGGGAUCGGCCCCGUCCCCGAUGGGGGAACCGGGAUCGGUCCUGUCCCCAGUGGGGCAUCAGGAUCGGCCCCAUCCCCAUCCUGGGGCACUGGGAUCAGGAUCAUCCUGUCCCCGUCCCCUGUCCCUGUUCCUGUUCCUGUUCCCAUCCCCAUCCCCACUGGGGGGCACUGGGAUCAGCCCCGUCCCCGUCCCCAUCCCCAGUAGGGGGCACCAGGAUCGGCCCCAUCCCCAGUGGGGCAUCAGGAUCAGCCCCGUCCCCAUCCUGGGGCACUGGGAUCGGGAUCGUCCUGUCCCCGUCCCCAUCCCCUGUCCCUGUUCCUGUUCCCAUCCCCACUGGGGGGCACUGGGAUCGGCCCUGUCCCCAUUGGGGGCACUGGGAUCAGCCCCGCACCCGAUGGGGGCACCGGGAUCGGCCCCGUCCCUGUCCCCAUCCCCACUGGGGGGCACCAGGAUCAGGAUCGUCCUGUCCCCAUCCCAAUCCCCAUCCCCUGUCCCUGUUCCCAUCCCCAUCCCCACUGGGGGGCACUGGGAUCGGUCCUGUCCCUGUCCCCAUCCCCACUUGGGGGGCACUGGGAUCAUCCCGUCCCUGUCCCCAUCCCCACUGGGGGGCACUGGGAUCGGGCUCUUCCCCAUCCCCACCCCAUCUCCAUCCCUAAUGAGGGCCACUGGGAUCAUCUUGACCCCAUCCCAAUUCCCAUCCCCACUGGGGGGCACUGGGAUCGGCCCUGUCCCCACUGGGGGCACUGGGAUCGGUCCCGUCCCUGUCCCACCCCCAUAA